UCCGGCUUAACGCCGGCAGUCUCCCUAGAGUGCCCAACAGAAUGGUGACAACUAAGGACGAGGGUUGCGCUCGUUGCGGGACUUAACCCAACACCUCACGGCACGAGCUGACGACAGCCAUGCACCACCUGUGAUGGUGUCCCGAAGGAAAACCGUGUUUCCACGGCGGUCACCAACAUGUCAAGACCAGGUAAGGUUCUUCGCGUUGCAUCGAAUUAAACCACAUACUCCACCGCUUGUGCGGGCCCCCGUCAAUUCCUUUGAGUUUCAGUCUUGCGACCGUACUCCCCAGGCGGCGAACUUAACGCGUUAGCUUCGAUACUGGGCACCAAGUUGUGCCCAACAUCCAGUUCGCAUCGUUUAGGGCGUGGACUAC
This 376-nucleotide unclassified non-coding RNA is filed under the name uncultured Pseudomonadota bacterium. RNAcentral describes it as "uncultured proteobacterium contains 16S-23S intergenic spacer region". The record is from RNAcentral. Lineage: Bacteria; Pseudomonadati; Pseudomonadota.